AUACUUACCUGGCAGGGGUGAUACCCUGAUCAGAAAAGUGGUUCGCCCAUAGCGAGGCUCAGCCAUUGCACUCGGGCUGUGCUGUCCUUUGUUAAUUCCCCAAAUGCGGGAAUCUCGACUGAAUAAUUUCUGGUUUCGGGGGACUGCGUUCGCGUUCUCCCCUG
Molecule: small nuclear RNA, 164 nt
Filed under: Bario sanctaefilomenae (redeye tetra)
Lineage: Eukaryota; Metazoa; Chordata; Actinopteri; Characiformes; Acestrorhamphidae
Description: Moenkhausia sanctaefilomenae (redeye tetra) U1-II
Rfam family: U1 spliceosomal RNA
About the family: U1 is a small nuclear RNA (snRNA) component of the spliceosome (involved in pre-mRNA splicing). Its 5' end forms complementary base pairs with the 5' splice junction, thus defining the 5' donor site of an intron.
Source: RNAcentral